Molecule: long non-coding RNA, 22976 nt
Filed under: Medicago truncatula (barrel medic)
Lineage: Eukaryota; Viridiplantae; Streptophyta; Magnoliopsida; Fabales; Fabaceae
Description: long non-coding RNA (MTRU_LNC006495)
Source: RNAcentral
AGAAUUUGGAACUUCUAAGCCUCAGUUCAUGUACUGACUUGGAAGCUAUACCGACUUCCAUUGGAAAGCUGUUAAAUCUAAAACAUCUUGACAUUUCAAACUGCAUCAGCCUUUCAAGUUUACCUGAGGAAUUUGGUAAUUUGUGCAAUCUAAAGAAUCUGGACAUGGCAAGUUGUGCAAGUAUUGAAUUGCCAUUCUCAGUUGUCAAUCUUCAGAAUUUGAAGACGAUAACCUGCGAUGAAGAGACGGCUGCUACAUGGGAAGAUUUCCAGCAUAUGCUUCCCAAUAUGAAGAUAGAGGUUCUUCAUGUUGAUGUUAACUUAAAUUGGCUUCUUUGAAUGACUUUUGUAUAGCAUAUAAUUAAAAUUCUUUUGUAAUAUUUUGUAAUUUCUUUUUGUAUAAAUACAUGAUUUGUAUUAGCUAUUCUCAAUCAAUAAAUUCAAUUUUUAAUUUUUUUAUCAGCUCAUUCUAUUGAUUUAUUUACAUUCUAAUAAGGUGGUAGUAAAUCCUUCUAUGCUUCUCCAACUCUAAAAAGCUUUUUGUAGUCCUUUGGUUCCCUGUUUCUGAGUUCUUCAAUCAUAGAUCAAAGUCGGCAAGAAGCAGUUGAUCCUCAAAAUUUGUCAAGCAUGGUCUUUGUUGCUUUCCAUUGAAUGGAUCAAAAUAUAUAAAUACACACUCACAGUUCCUUUUGUUGGUGAGUCUUUUACUAAAAUAACGAACAACCACUUCGAGUAUUUCCCCUUCCAAAUUUGCCUAUGGAUUAUAGAUAUUGGUGUCACCUUUUUUCCUUAAAUAUUGAACUCUGUGCAUUGGACCUAUAAAGGUGAUAUCAAUUUUUAUUGCAUAUAAAUAAAUCAAAUUUCAUUUUUAGUCCUUAAAAAGGUGAUUUUUCAACAUAUCCUUAAACUAUCCUUAAAUUUCAUUUUUAUUCCCGACUAAAUUCAAAUUUAUUUAACUUAUCCUUAAACUUUUAAAUUUUUGGUCUUCAAACUAUUUUUCAAUAUAUCAACCAAUUGGUCUUCAGACUUGACAAAAUAUGUGGUGAUUUCAUCUGGAAGUACCUUGUCUAUUACAUAAUGACAUCCAUCUCUAUUUGGUUCGUUCAUGGAAAAUUGGAUGCAUUGAUGAGUGCAAUUUGAAAACAUGUCUUAUCAUAUUUAUUAAAUGAUGUGGCAAUACAUGAUUGGAUGCAAUGUAACAUAGUGUAACACAACUAUAUAAGGAUGACACAUACAAAUUAACGUUACACCCUAUUUAUAGUCGUGCCUUGUCUUAGCUUUUCUGGUCUUGACGUGCAUUACAUGUACAUUGACGAAUCUUCAAAUCUCAAUUUGAGAGUGUCAAACAUAAUUCUCAAUUUGUGCAUAUGUAUGAGAAUAACUUCCCAACUUCUUGGAAAAUUAUCAUAAACUUGUUCAAUGUUAACUUUACUCUAAAUUUUGUCGGUAUGUCCUUAACUUGUUCAAUGUUAUAUAUGUUAAGUCAAGUGUACAAACUUCAAGAGGACUUUAAAGCAGAAUUGCUAGGAAAAAUAUUUGAAAGAGAAUAAAGGAUGUUAACCGCCGUUUGGUUCAAGUUAUGGGAUAAAAAAUCAUGUGACUACAAGAAUAUUGCCAUAUACUACGGAUGUUUAUAGCGACGGAUGGAAAACUGUAGGUAUUGAUGUUUUACCUACGGAAGUGGCCGUAGGUAUAGACAUCUAAAAUAAUAAAAUAAAAAAUAUCAAAAUAAUGCAGCGAGCGCGUAAUGAAAUUGUGGACUGUGAAAAACCCCACCUUUUCCCAACUCUAAAUUGCAAAAUGAUAAAAAUAAAACUAAUAAAAAUAAAAUAGAACCCCAACUGGCCAACUCCAUUCUUCACGUUUGUACCGGGCACACUGUAAUAAUAAGUAAGAGCUAUUGUAAUGAAAUGUGAUUUUAUUUGUAGGGUAUCUUUCAAGGAGAAUUUGUAGGUUUGGGGAGUUAUUUGUGGAAAAUGUAAAGGUAUAAUAGUGGAAAAAAUAACAAAUGUUGUAUUGUUAUUUUACGGUGACAAUUAUACAAAAAGAAAAUUCUAAAGAAACAAUUAUUUUAAGACGGAAGGAGGUAUUUGACUAAAAAUUUGUAUCAAAAUAUAAAUCUCUUUUUUAAAUUAUUAAAUAUAUUUAUCGUUUCCUUUUCAAAUAAACUCCUAAUUGAUACCACUGGGUGUUUUGAAAUAUGAUAACUUACACUUUACUACAUAUACAUAUAUACAAAUGAUAUUUUAGAUAAAUUUAUACAUAAAAUGAACAUAUUAACUACACUACCAAAUAUAUUUUAUAAGAGUUAAAAAAAAAAAAAAAAAUUAUAUAUAAGGAUGGAGGAAGUAUAUGACUUUAACCUUUAAUUUCAUCAAAAGUAGUUCGGAAUUAUUGGAAGACAAGGUCACGAGAUUCAUGCUUGAAUUCCAUAGCAGCAUAGACCAUGGCUUCCCGAUAUUUUUGGUUUCUACAUUUUUUGUGUGAAUUUAUAAUAGGUUUUUUACUCAACUUAUUGAGUUUUAAACACUUAAGUUUCUACUGUUUUUUUUUUUUUUUUUUUGUGUGGGCACAAUACUAUUAAAAACUUUUUAAUUAAUCAACUAAAAUAUAAAACAAGCAUGAGCAUAAGUUUGUUAUAAAAUUAUAAAAACAAUGCUAUCCAACAAAUGGAAGAUGAUUUUCUCAGAUUACUUGAUCGUCUAUAUGAUAAUAAUUGAUGAUUUUAACUUUAUUUUUUUGGAUAAAUCAGGAGAAAGGACAUACAUCAAAAGGUAGCACCGACAUCCUAAUUAGAUUGACAUCCCGAUGAAACUCCAUCCUAAGACGCCAUGCUCAAUUUUUUAUUUUAAAAAGGGGGAAGAGUAUAUAAAAGGGGAGGAGACCAAAAACCCUCAAAACAAGAAAGAAAAAGGAAAAGAAAAUCAACAAACUAGGGGAAUCUGUAAUUAGACAGACCACAUCUGUCGUGAAAGAAAUCAAAGUUCAAUUCUGAAGGUAAAGCCGUCAACCAAACUGAACCAUGUAGUGCAUAUCCCAUAUUAGUCAACUUGUCUUCCCGAUAAAAGUCCCCCAUGAACAACCAAGGCCUCUCUUAUAUUCCAAUAGAAAAAAAUUCAUUGGGCAGAUGGCGAGGGCUCUCGCGUAAAACAGGUUCUAUACGGCGGCUUUCUAUAAAUUGUUGUUUCUUUAAAUUUUCUUUUUUCUUUUUUGACAAGAGGAGAGUGACGGGAGCUUCAUAUCAUGUUGAAUCCUUGGAUUAUUGUGCUGCACAAUACCAACUUCAUGCGUGGCUAAUGAACUUGCAGUCAGAGCCAAGCUAGACACAAUGGCCACAACUGCUGGUACUACAUCAUCUGUCAGCAAGAGUUCAUCUGUCAGCAAGAGUUGUGUGCCUAUGUUGCUGUCCACGGGAACCAAGUCUGCAACAAAGGCAGGGAUUACUGGGAUGGGGUCUGGAACCGAAGUAAUGAGACAAGUUGGUGUAACUGAACCAUCCAACGGGGUUGUAGGGACUGUGUGCACCACAAUAUUGUGUGGAUGCACAACUGUGGAUGAGGGAAUGUCUUUAGAAGAGGCAGUGACUUCCUCGUGCACUACAAUGUUCAGCACUGCCGAAGAGCUCACCUCCCUAACCGAAUCCAAGGUAGCACCAUCAAAAUUCUCAUGCACGUCAACGUGCUCUACAUAAGUCAAAAGCGGAGCAGCAGCGACAAGAAGCUUUGGAACACUUUCCUCCUAAGAUUCCUGAUGCGUUCUCUCUACUUCAAGAGGGUCCACGUCAUCGUGCACAACACCGGUAACCAAUUCCAAAACGGGGAUAGCUGAUUGAGGUAACACGCCCUGAGGAGUUGCAUCAGAAACAUUUUGCAAAGCAAAGCUGAAAGAGCUGCUCGAAACAUCCUUAGGAAGAGCAAUGUUUUUAGUUGUAGACCGUUUUGGUGUAUCUAUGAUAGUAGCUGAAGCUGAAGGGUCUGCAACAUCAACAUAUUGCAUGGUACCUGAAGUAGAAGUACCUCUAUCACUACGGUACUGCCAAGGAGAAGGUUUCUUAGUAAGUGGUUCAGCCGCCAUAGGUUUCUUUCCAUGGUCAGUCACCUUAGUUGCCGGGUGCAACCACUUGCAAGUCGAAACAUUAUGUCCAAUGACAUAACAGUGAUGGCAAAAGAGCGGUCUCCUUUCAUAUUGUACUUCAACCUUAAAGGCAAAACCUUCCCGUUCCACAAGAAUUUCAUCAUAGGCUCUUUUAGAUAAGUCAAUGUCCACCAAAAUUUGUCGCAUAGUAUCUGAAAGCCCUAUUUCAUGUCGAGGCAUCCAAAUCUAUCAUAGUACCGACAACACUCGCAAUUUCCUUCGAAGCUCGUUCCCACCAUUGAUCAUUCUAAUAUUUAUCAUUCUAAUGAUGGGUACUAUUUUUUUUUAGAUGUGUUAUUUGAACAAUCCUUUGGUUGACAACUUAUUUGACAACUUAGUUUUACAAAGAAAAAAUAGGUAUUAACACGAAAACCAAAACAAAGAUAAGUAAAACAUAAUGUGAAUACGAGAGAGAAAGUUGUCAAAAAAAUUGUCACAAAUUCAUUUUUACACAUAUCAUUUAUCUUUUUUUUCUUUUCUUAAGGAAGCUAUUUUUUAUUGUUGAUAAUGGUCGUUUGUUUGGAUAAGACUGAGAUAUUGAUUCAUGCAAUAUUGAACUGCUAUGUUUGGAUAAGACUGAGAUAUAUAUUCCCAUUUAAAAGUGUUUUGUUUAACCAACACAUUAGCUUAUCCACUGGAAUAACCUUCACUUUAAAAAAACCUUAAUUAUUCUAAUGGUUGCUGGAAUAUGGUAACCACUCUGGCUACACAAUCGCACAUAGAAAUUGGUAGAGGAAUUACUGGGGUUAUUUUCCAGGAACAUUUUCGUUAAUUACCAUUAAUUAUUCUUAUGGAAGAGUACAUUUUCUACAAAUUCUACUUUCGAAAAUGCCAAACAACAAACACAUGAUUUUUUAUUGGGUUAAUAAUAGUGUUUUAACCCCUGUAAUUUAGGUCAUUUUCUAUUUUACCCUCUGUAAAAGUUUUUUUUUUUGGAUUUCUUCCUUGUAAUUUGAAAUUUUUUGAUUUUGGACCUUCAUCAAUUUUGACCGUACAAAAUCGAAGAUAUGAGGGGUAAACUGAAAUUUGCUCAAAUUACAAUGAAGGUAAACCUAAAUUUGCUCAAAUUACAAGCGGUGAAAUUUUUCAUGAAGAUCCAAAACCAAAAUUCCAUAACUUGAACCAAACACCGGUUAAUGUCCAAGUAUCCUUUAAAUAAUAAUACAUUUAAAUAAUUUAUAACUCAUUUUUUACCAAGUUGUACUUUUCUUUGCAGACCAAACCAAACGUGUGGAAUAUUUAAGGGGAAACAAUAGCGAAAAUUGUACGCAAUGUGACGGAAAGAGACAGAAGAAAGCAAUGAUUUUUCCUUUAAGGGGUAAACGAAACUAUAAAUACCAAGUUUUACACAUCAAAAGUUUCAAUUUCAAAACAUCGUACUACAACAACAAUUGUUAAGGUUCGAUAUACUAUACUACAAACAACAUCGUACUUUUCAUCUUCUAAACAUACUCACGCAACCAACAUUGAAUUUUUCAGCCUUUCAUAACUUGCAUUGUGUUUGUUAUUAGAUUACAACAAAGGAAGGAACAAAUUCAUGAGUAGCGCUACACACAUUAUUACCCUUACAACAAGAUUUCAAUUUCAUGAUGUCUUGAACAAAAUAUCUCAAAUACUUCAAAAAGCACGAAAGGAUUUAUCUCCUGUGGUUCAAGACAUAAAGCAAUACAAUGAUCAUUUGGAUCACCCCAGAGAGGAAAUAAAUAGUCUAAUAGAAGAAAAUGAUGCAGGAGAAAGUGCAUGCAAAUGUUCUUCUGAGAAUGAUUCCUAUGUUGUUGAUGAGAACCAAUCUCUUAUUGUAAAUGAUGUUGAAGAAACACUUUAUAAGCCAAGAGAAAUUCUUGAGCUUCUCAACCACGAAAAUCGGCCUCGUGACUUGUGGCGAAAGAUAGGGAAAGAACUAGCACAAGGUCAUUCUCUUCUUGAUUCUAAUACCAAAUUACUUAUUCGCCUCCAAAAGAUCUUUGAUGUUUUGGAAGAUAAUCCUACAAUCAUGGAGUGCUUCAUGGACAUAGCCUUAUUUCCCGAAGACCAUAGAAUUCCUGUCGCUGCUCUCGUUGAUAUGUGGGCAGAGCUGUAUAGACUAGAUGACAACGGAAUACAAGCAAUGGAAAUCAUCAACAAAUUAGGCAUCAUGAAUUUGGCUAAUGUCAUAAUACCAAGGUACUACGACUAUUAUUAUUAUUAUUAUAUUUUCUUCUAGGCUACUUAAAUUGUUAAAUAUCUCACAUGAAUGAUACUCUACAUAAAUCCUGUCAAAUAAUUUUUUAUCUUUUAAGUAACUAAUUAACCUCUGCUCAUUUACCAGGAAAAAUGCAAGUGACACGGACGAUAACAACUACAAUAAUCACUUCAUCAUCCUUCAUGAUAUUCUAAGAGAACUUGGAAUUUACCAAAGCACCAAGGAACCAUUUGAGCAAAGAAAAAGACUGAUUAUUGACAUUAAUAAAAAUAAAAGUGGGCUCGCGGAGAAGCAGCAAGGCUUGAUGACCUGUAUAUUGUCAAAGUUUAUGAGAUUGUGUGUUAAACGGAAUCCUCAACAGCUCACUGCCCGUAUAUUGUCGGUAUCAGCUGGUUAGUAAUACUUAUACUCCCUUUUUCUAACUUUGACCAUCUAAAAAAUGCUAUUGAAAUUUUUUUGCAAUCUGUUAUUCAUUCCUUUUCCGCAAUUGAUCGCUUGAUUUUCACAUUUGCAGAUGAAACAUGUGCGUUCGAUUGGUCUCAAAUGCAACCAGCUCAGGUCGAGGUUCUGAUUUUAAAUAUUCAUACCAAGCAGUACUCAUUACCCGAGUGGAUUGCAAAAAUGAGUAAACUAAGAGUUCUGAUAAUCACAAACUACGGUUUCCAUCCUUCUAAACUGAACAACAUUGAGCUUCUCGGUUCUUUACAGAACCUGGAAAGAAUCAGACUAGAGCGAAUUUCGGUCCCUUCCUUCGGCACAUUGAAGAAUUUGAAAAAACUAUCUCUCUACAUGUGUAACACAAUACUGGCUUUUGAAAAGGGUAGCAUCCUAAUUUCAGAUGCAUUUGCAAACCUAGAAGAAUUGAACAUUGAUUACUGCAAAGAUUUGGUGGUAUUUCCAACUGGUAUCUGUGAUAUCAUCUCACUAAAGAAGCUCAAUGUUACUAAUUGCCACAAGCUUUUUUCACUUCCCCAAGAUAUUGGAAAAUUGGAGAAUUUGGAACUUCUAAGCCUCAGUUCAUGUACUGACUUGGAAGCUAUACCGACUUCCAUUGGAAAGCUGUUAAAUCUAAGACAUCUUGACAUUUCAAACUGCAUCAGCCUUUCAAGUUUACCUGAGGAAUUUGGUAAUCUUUGCAAUCUAAGAAAUCUGUACAUGGCAAGUUGUGCAGGUAUUGAAUUGCCAUUCUCAGUUUUCAAUCUUCAGAAUUUGAAGACGAUAACCUGCGAUGAAGAGACGGCUGCUACAUGGGAAGAUUUUCAGCAUAUGCUUCCCAAUAUGAAGAUAGAGGUUCUUCAUGUUGAUGUUAACUUAAAUUGGCUUCUUUGAAUGACUUUUGUAUAGCAUAUAAUUAAAAUUCUUUUGUAAUAUUUUGUAAUUUCUUUUGUAUAAAUACAUGAUUUGUAUUAGCUAUUCUCAAUCAAUAUAUUCAAUUUUUAAUUUUAACUACUCAUUCUAAUGAUUUAUUUACAAGAUAAUAAGCUGGUAGUAUGCUUCUCCAGUUCUAAAAAGUUUUUCGUAGUCCUUAGGUUCCUUUUUUUUUGUUCCUUGUUUCUGAGUUCUUCAGUCAUAGAUCAAAGUCGGCUAGAAGCAGUUGAUCCUCAAAAUUUUCCAAGCAUGGUCUUAUUUGCUUUCCAUUGAAUGGAUCAAAAUACAACGAAGAAGGUGCUGCUUUCAAAGAACAAUGUGAAGUUUGUUAAUGGAGAUAUUUGAAAAUUAAAGCGCACUUGUUUUAAUUAGUUCUGUAAGAUGUUUCAACGUUUAUAACGUUCCCUUAAAUGUUCCAACAUCACGAAAUAAACAGAAAUCAAAACAAGAAAAUAAAUGACAAGAAAGUAAAGAACACUGUGAGUUUGUUGACCCAGUUCGGUAACAAACUCACCUACUCUGGGGGCUACCACGUCAGGAAGGAAAUCAACUAGUGUAGUCCGUAUUCUAUAGGACUCAACAAACUCCUUGUUUACUCGUAUAUACUUCAACCUAGGAACUCCUAGAUCUGAGAUCCCAUCUCUAUCUUAUGUUCAGUCACAGCCCCUGUGACCUAUCAGACCUAAGCACAAACUCAAGGAUGAAGUUAUCUUUAAACACAACAACUAACACCUUGCUUACAAGGUUUGGUGUAGUACACAAAAGUAUCAAACUCAACACACAGUCCUAAACAUGUAUCACAGACGAUACGAGAAAGGCUCACAAUAAAGGUUCUAAACUUGCAUCAGCAGGAUACAAGAGUAGAGCACAUGUAGACUCAAAAUCUUAAAAAUCUAAACUUUUAGAAUGACGGCUUGAAUAGUUCAUUAGGUCUUGAAGUCUCACUUAUAUUAUACUGAAGCAGCUCGGGUCAAAUACUUUAGUUGGGCUUCAGAACAAAGCAGAUCGGUUCAGCUAAUCUGCAAAACAGAAUCAGAGACAAAUAUGUAAAGUCCUAAAAUGUCGCUAGGAUCGUCCAAAUCAAUAACAAAUUUUUCCUAAAAAAUAAAUACUACUUUAGGAAUAUUCCACGACUGAUUCUGUAAAGAUAUGCGCGUUGCUUGAUCAAUAAGAUAAGGAAAUAUUGUUUCCUUAAACAAUAAAGGGCGCGCGUACAAAGAGACAUGACCUCAGGCACACUGAACUGUGCCAGGAUGUUGGAACAUAAUAUCCAACAUCUUACAGAGAUGCCUAAAUACAUGUUGGAACAUUGGUUCCAACAACACAAAUAAUAUUUAUUUUAGCAAUAAUGCAGCCAAUACAAAUACUCAACAAUAUUUUAUUUUCUGCUACACAUGAUUAAACAUAGGUGUUAUUAACAAUAUUAUGGUAGAUGCAUUUUCUAAGUCACAACAUAUAGAUAAUGCCAUGCAUUUGGAAAAUAAGCAACGGAUAUCUCAGUUCAAUCUUAAGCAAGUUUAGCAUCUUAGUUGUGUGGUGAGUCAGAAACACACUAAUAUACAACCAGACACAGUGCCUUUUGGUGGGGCGAGUCUUCUAUUAAAAAACGAACAGCCACUUCAAGUAUUUCCGCUUCCAAAUUUGCGUAUGGAUAAUAGAUAUUGGUGUGUCACCUUUUUUCCUUAAAUAUUGAACUCUGCAUUGGACCCAUAAAGGUUAUAUAAGUUUUUAUUCCCUUAUUUUUCAACAAUCAACCAAAUAUAUGGUGAGUCUAUCUCUGUGAUUGAUUCCUUCAUGGAAAAUAGGAUGCGUAUAUUGUUGAGUGCAAUUUGAAAACAUAUGUCUUAUCAUAUUGAUUAAAUGAUGUGGUAAUACAUGAUUAGAUGCAAUGUAAUACAGUAUAACACAAUUAUACAGGAAUGGCGCAUACAAAUUAAACCUUACACCCUAUUCAUAGCCGUGCCUUGUCUUAGCUUUUCUGGUCUUAACGUGCAUUACAUGCAGGGCCGUUCAUGAGAAUUCGGAGGCUCGGCUUUGAGAAUGAAAAAUUCAUUAAAGAAAGAAGAAAAAAGGAACAUAAAAAUUAAGUAAUGGGUGUUGAACCCAUGACCUAGAUAGUGCAAACUCCCAUUCAUUCCGCUCAGCUAUAUUUGCUUAUCCAAUUUUUUGAUCACGCCGCUUCUAUAUAUUAUUUAUUUACAUGCAGCAUAUAUAAAAAAAUAAAAUAAAAAUUGGGCCUCCAAAAUUUGGAGGUUCAGCGCAGUAGAGCUGUUUGCACCCCCUCAAGGCCGGCCCUGAUUACAUGUACAACAUUGACGACUCUUUAAAUCUAUUAGUCAUUCUUUAACGUUUGUACAAAGUCAUAAGUCACUUUACAGCGUCAAAUAUUAUUGUCAAUUUGUGCAUCAUGUAUGAGAAUAAUUUCCCAACAUCUUGGAAAAGUACCACAAACUUGUUGAAUGUUAACUUUACUCUAAAUUUUAUACAUAUGUGCUUAACUUGUUCAAUGUUAAGUCUACAAACUUCAAGAGGACUUUAAAGUAGAAUUGCUAGGAAACAUAUUUGAAAGAGAAUAAAGGACAUUAACUGCCGUUUGGUUCAAGUUAUGAGAUAUAAAAAUCAUGUGUUUGGCGUUUGGCAUUUUCGAAAGUACUAUUUGCAGAAAAUUUACUCCUCCAUAAGAAUAAUUAAUGGUAAUUGACCAAAAUGUUCCUGGAAAAUAAUUAACUCUAGUAAUUUCUCUACCAAUUUCUAUGUGUGAUUGUAUAGCCAGAGUGGUUACCAUAUUCCAGCAACUAUUAGGUAGUUUGGCAGUAAAUCAUCAUCGCAGUCAACUAUUAUUAAUGAUGAUGAUAAGGUUUUUUAAAGUGAAGGUUAUUCCAGCGGAUAAGUAAUGUGUUGAUUAAACAAAACACUUUUUCUAAAUGGGAAUAUAUAUCUCAGUCUUAUCCAAACAAAGGAGUUCAAUAUUGCAUGAAUCAAUAUCUCAGUCUUAUCCAAAAAAAAAAACGAUCUUUAUCAACAAUAAAAAUAGCUUCCUUAAGAAAAGAAAAUUCAAUUAAUGAUCUUUCAUGGUAAUUAAUGUCUUACAAGUCUCGUACGCUUAGCUCAACUGACAAAGAUAAUGCAUAGUAUCAAGGUUUGGGGUUCGAAUCCUAAACACCAUAAAAAAAAAUAAUAUCCAUCAAACUAGAAGGGCAAUUUGAUAUAUAUUUAAGUUUUUAUUUUUAUUUUAUAAAAAUAUGAUAUAUUUGUCCCGUAAGCAUUCAAUCGUUAACUAGAAGGACAAUAUUAUAUAGAGGUUGAAAAACCGCGUACUCUUCACUUAUUCACAUUUAAAUGUGAGUCAUUUUUUCUUUUACAAAAAAUGUGUGAGUCCUAUCCAUAAGGUAGUUGACCAAUUUUUUAUAUAUAUAUUUUUGAGAGGAUAUAUUUAUAUUAAUUCAUCAUCAAGAUUCGAGUCAAAUUUUUAAUAUACUAUCAUCAAUUUUUUUAGGAUAUUAUGACCAAAUUAUAUAUAUAUAUAUAUAUAUAUAUAUAUAUUUUUUUUUUUUUUCUUCCAAAAAGCUAAAAUAAAAUAUAUUAAAAAUCCUCCUCAUUAUGUACCAGAUGUGUCUAAAGAUAAUUAAUAUAAAGAGUCAAAAUAAUAAAGAUGAUGAAAGUAAGAAUAACUAUUACAAAGUUGUGGUGUAUCAUAAACAAAGUGAAAAAUUAAAUUGUUGCGCAUGACACCUAAAAUCUGCAGGAACAACCGUAAACAUGUCCAACCAGCGAUGAACGAGAUUCUAAAUACUACAAAAAAAAAUGUCAAACUCCCAGUAAAGAUGAUUAAACAUUUCCUCUUUGCCGCAACCGCAUAAGCACUAAACCAAGUUGGACAAAAUUACUCCUCUCCGCACUAAAUUGUCCUUUGUAUGAAUUCUCUUGUUAAAUGUUCGCCAUACACACACUGAUUUACUUCAAACUACAUAUGAAUAAAUCUCAUUAGGAAGCUGAUCUGCACCCAUAAGAAUAUAUGAUAGACAUCUUUUACUGAGUAUUCUUCAAUAGGGUCCUGUUUCCAAAAUCAUUUGUCAUUAAUAUCAACCUGCAAAAUAAAUACCACCAAGCAGUUUAGUAAAAUCUACCACCGCGCGAACAACCUACUUCUCCACCGCCACCCCUCCUCGUCGACCUCCCAACCUGGCCUCCUCAUAUCAGCAACAGUAACAUUAGGUUCCACACUUAGCUCAAACAGACGCGAAAAUCCUAUCCCGCAUUACCCCACCAUCUAACCACAUAUCACUUCAAAAGGUAGAAUUUUCACCAUUUUCAACUCUACAACCCACCCAUCUCUAAAUCAACAUGUGUCACUGCCGCUCUCUCCCUCACAAAUAUCACACACAUUUUUCUACCACACCGAAAAUAAUUUACCCCUUCCAUUAACCCGGCCUCCCUCCAACCCGUAUUUCUCAAAAAUGCUAAAUUAAACUCCUUGAUCCUCCUGUCCUUAAAACCUCUAUACCCUCCUUACUAGAACACACCUUGUCCCAAUUUAUCUAGUGAAUUUUGCAAGCUUCCUCACCCCUUCCCCCCCACCCAUUUAAAAAGACAUUCAAUGAAAGAUAUGCUACAUGUGGGAGCUUUGAAGAAGGAAAGAAAAUAAACUAGUAAUGAUGACAAGAAAGAUUUGAUGAGCACAAGACAACUGACCAUGGAUAGGCUUUUACUCAUUUAUUACGCACAUUCUCAAUUAACCGAAUCCUAAAUAACAGACGCCUCGGGUCCUCACCAAUGUGAGGCCCUAAGUACACAAACGAAAUAUGACUAAUCUUAAAAUUAAAAACAACAUGAGCUUCUACAAACCAAAAAUCAAAAACAUUCACACCAACCAAUAUGCUUUUGCGAAAAUUCACCUUCAAACCUGAAACGAGUUAAACAGUAUCAAAGUUGCCUUUUUAAUGUCUGAAUAUUUCCCCAAUUCUUUUCUCCUAAGAUCAAACUUAUCAUCACCAAAACUGAAGGAAACAAGAGAGAGAAGCUCUUUUCUCUCUUCACCCUCUCCUUCACUUCCGACCUACCACCACCUCCACUCCGUCUCUCUCUCUCUUCUCCUUCAACAUCCAAACAUUACUACCCUCAUGUAGCUGCACGCGUCGGUGGUGCGAUUGGCGGAAGCUCCAUCGCGUCACCACCUCAACACCCCUUUUGGAUUGUUACUGCCGGUGAUUCCUCUGUCAACGAUAUGUUUUCGUUCUUGGAUCUGGGCUUUCCGUUUUUGGUGGUUUCAAACGGACGUGGUUGGCUGUUAACCACCGUCGUCGUCGUGUUUUAGUUGUUCUACCGUCGUGUUUUCUGUUGUAUUUUUUGGAUCUAUUUUAGUGGUUUCACUGUUGGUUUUGGUAAGACAUAUUUGUGUGGUGUGCUCCAUAAUCCGGAUCUGGUUUUUUAGUUGGGGUUUUGCUGUACAGAUCAGUGACAGUGUGCCGCUGGAUUUGUUGGUGGUGUUCGAUCAUGACUGCUCAGUUGCCUGCAGUUCCUUCACGAUUAAUCCUCCUUCGCAACUUCCGGAUCAUUGUCGUUGUAAGGAUCGUGGUGGUAUUGUGGUUGUCUUGCCGGUGGUUGUGGUGUGUGCCGGUCUAUUCAGAUUCAGUUUGGCUUUUUGCUUGUUUGGAUGCCAGACUCCCACUUUUUUCGAGAUUGCCGUGUUUUGGUGGUGCGUGUGGUGGUUAGUGGUGGUGGUUAUGGGUGUUUUGUGUUUGGAUUCUAGGCAUUUUUUGGGUGAUUGGUGUUAGGGUGGUGAUGUUUUAGAGGCUUUUAGACAUGUUUGUAGGGAAUGGUGGUGUCGUGCUGCUGCCUUUGGAGAUGUUCAAGUGGUGGUGAUGGAGGAUGAUUUUGUGGCUUGUUUUUUUGGUUUGUUUGUGUAUGUUGGUUCAAUUUGUGCUAUUGUUCCACCUUGUCUCUGUCUUACGAAUUUGUCAUCUGGAUAAUGAUGGGCUGAUCGCUUUUGCUUCGAGAUUAGAAGUUAGAGUCUAGCUGUCAAGUUGUUGGAUAAGUUGAGGUGUAUGCUCUGGUGGUUCGAGAGUUUAGGAGUCUGGUGGGCCGAUCACUUUUGAUUCGAGAUCAGGAGCCAACUUUUUGACUUAGGUCUUUUUAGGUUUAUUUUGGUGUCUUCUCCGAUUGACUAGAAGUUGAUUGGUGGUCGAAUCUGAACAUUUGAAACAACAAAUCAUUAUCUGGUGCUUAUUUGUUAGGGGUUUCAGCAUGUACGAUGGUGUUGAUGGUUUUCGCUGAUUGGUUUUGGUGUUGCUUUUGGGUUUGGAGAUUUGUUUUUAUUAGGGUUGAUGUUAGCCUUAGGUGGUAUUGUGUAUGUAUUGGUGUUUAUGUUGUACUUUUCUUUAGGUGUUCUGCCUAUAUACGGUACCUUUUGAUGUACUUUUGGUGUUAUACCGAUCUCUGUUCGUCUCGUGCGGAGAUCUGGUUUAUUAAUAAAUUUUGCUGUUUCAAAAAAAAAAAAAGACACACACAAACAUAAUGACUUAUUUUAUCAUAAUAACAAUAAAUUUUAAUUAUCAACUAUAAUAAUUUUUUUUAAGUAGUCUAGUGGCUAGAAAUUAAUCUUUUAUUGGGUGAAUAAAUGGGGUCUUCGAGGUUUAAACUCCAACGUCUGCAUAUAUUAUGCAGCGUCCCUACCAAUUGAGUUAAGUUCACGAGAACAAAUUAAAUUCCUUUCUAAAUUUCUAUAAUGAAAAUAUUAAAUUUUUCCUUAUAAUUCUUUAAAAUUAUGUAAAUUGGUCCUUAUAAAUUUUCUAAAAAUUGUAAAUUAAAUCCUUUAAAUUUAAAAAAAAUUUAAAUUGCUCCUCUUGUUUUAUAUCUUUAAAAAUUUGUAAAUUGGUCCUGAAAUUUUAAAAUAUUUAGAAUCCGUCCCUAUUUUUCAUAAAUUUUAUAAAAACAACAGAACAAAGUUUAACAAUGAAGAAUUGUUUUACUCCACCGAUACAAAAAUAAUUAGAAAUGAAAGAAAUUCAAUUAAAGCAUUUGAAUUGUCUAAAAUUUUCAUUUUUAGGUUAUGAUUCUGUAACUUAGGAACAACUGCAUGAGUUGAGCAAAGACUAUGUUAUGUCAUGAGUUGAGCAAAGACUAUGUUAUGUCAUGAGUUGAGCAAAGACUAUGUUGCCUAGUUCUAGGAACAAAACAUUGGAACCAUUGCCGGUGCCAUUGGAACCAUCGUUUCUCUUUGUAUCGAAGAAGCCUUGAACCAUUGGAGCCUUCCUCGAGUUGACUAAGCACUUGACAACUACAAGGACAAUAAUGAUGAAGGGUGAUCCUAUCUGCUUAUGUCACUCCUUCUUGUAAAGAACCCAACAAAUACUAGACAUGGUCUCUAUAUUAAGCUAUCAUGGCCGAUCGUCAAAGUGGAGGAGAAACAACGUUAGUCUCAUUUGGUCAAAGCAUUUAGUACUAAACCACAAGAUGUUAGAGUGUUAUUGGAUCUAGAUUACAAGGGAGCUUAAAAAGACUUUAUGAUUAAAAAAAAAAAAAUCAUCUGGUAUUUAAUUAAAACUUUUAUAAAAUUGUUGGCCUGUAUUUCUAAGGAUGUGUUUGGUUUGGAAGAGAAGUUGAGAAGAGAGAAUUAGGUAAGAGAGAGUAUUAAAAGAGAGAAAAAGAUGACAAAUAUAGUAUAUUUGAAUUAUUGUUUGGUAUAAAAAGAAAGAGAAAAGAGAGAAGUAUAAUUGUAUUUUAAAUUGACAAUAGUAUCCUUUAACUCGUAAAAGAUGUUUGAAUUACAACUCUCUCCCCCGUCUUAUGUUAAAAUGUACACUCCCCUCUUAUUCAAAAUAUAUUAAAAACAUUUUCACUCCCCUCCCUUAAGAGAAACUUGAAUUGCAUUCUCCUCCCCUCUUAUGUUAAAAUCUACACUUUACUCCCUCAAUUUUUUUUUUUUUUUUUUUUUUUAUAUCUAAUAAUCUAACACACUUCCAAAAAAAUAGCAUUGCGCGUCUAUUUUAAUAUAAUAAAAUUAAAAUAUGUGAAAAAUUACUAAAGACAAUAAAGCAUGGUUAUUUAAAGGUUAAUUUUAUACUCUAAAUUAUAAAAUCAAUACCAAAAUAUUUAAAUUUAAUUAUCAUUGACAUUUAAAUUAUAAAGAAAUGAAUUAAUUUUUCUUAAAUGGUGGUUCAAAUUAAUAUAUAUCAUAAAAAUAUUUAUUUAUGUUAAAAUUGAUUAAAGUGUAGUGCAUAUUUAAUUAUUAAGGGAGGUGGUUGUAAUUCAAUCAUUUUAUAAAGGAGGGGGUAUAAAUUUUAUUUUUUAAGGGAGAGGAAUGUAUAUUUUAAUACAAGAGAGGAGAGGAGUGUAAUUCAAGCAUCUUUGAGGGGAUGUGAGUGUAAUGUACUCUUUAAUUUUUGUCUUUUAUGAGGCUUAUAAUGGAAAACCAUGGGCCGGAGUUCUUUCUCCACUCUUUUGCUCCAUCAACGGAGAAAUUGAUUUUUAUGUGGAACCCAUCUACUUUUAGCCUUUCUCUCUUGUAUUUUGCUCUUGCUCCAAACACAAUGGCUUUACUCUCUCCCCCCUAUUUUCCUCUCACAUUGCUCUUUCCUCUAUCUCUCUUGUUCCAAACACACCAUAAGUGUUUGUUUUCGACAUGAUAUAGUAUUUGUCGAAAGAAGUUUUUCUUCAGAUAUAGACUUAAUAAAUGCAUUCGACAAGGUUUGAUGAAAAUUAACAUUUUCAAGUCUUUUGAGUUCGACUAGAAGGAAUCCAAAUACUGUUUGAAGAGGCAAGAUCAAAGGUCCAGGCACGUGGAAAGUAAAUCAAGUCUGUCGAAAACAUAUGGUUUAGGACCAUUGGUUUGUUAGUUAUUUUUCUUAUGUAUAGCUUUUCAUAACAAAAAAGGGUCAUGAAUUAUUAUCAGAGUUCUCAUACUCGAAUCAUCCAGCAUAGAGAGAAAAGAGUAACACAAAAUGUAUGUAACAUGAGUUUUUAGUUGUAUAUUCUGUGGAGUGGAUUUCUUUUUAGAGUUUUUAGUUAAACAUAAAAAUACAACACUGAUUCAAUAAUCUCACAUUUUGAUUAGAAUAAGGUAACUUGUGAGACUUUGAGACUCUCUGCAAUUUAUUUUAGUUGUCUCUCUAAAGAUACCAUAUGCAUUGGCUCUCAUUAUUAUUUUUAUUUCCUUUCAGUUUUUUCUUAUUCUAUUUUGACAUUUUUGACGUUUAAAUCAUAUCCUCUCAUUUUAUUUCACGGGAAAUGUUAAACAGUUCCCUUAUAACAUUUGUUAAAGAAACAAAACUAGAAAUUUUAUUUAAAAAAUGGUGUAUUCAACCUAAGUCAUCUUUUGAAAAGUUUAAAAUUUAAGGUUAAUUAAGUAAAUGGUCUCUAUAAAUAUUCAUAAUUUUAUUUUUAGUCCUUAUAAAAUAAAAUCGCACUUUUUAGUCCUUGUAAAAAAUUUAUUCAACAUUUUUUGUCCCUGUAAAAUUUUCCAUCAACAUUUUUAGUCCUUAUAAAAAUUUUACGUCCGCAUUUUCGAUCCUUAAAAUGUUAAAGAAAAAUGUCACAGAAACUAAAAAGUGUGAUUUUAUUUUGUAGGGGACUAAAAACAAAAUUCUGAAUAUUUAUAAGAACCGUUUACUUAAUUAAUCUUAAAAUUUAUAAUUUUCAAUGCAAAGUUUACAUUUUUUGUAUGCUUAACUAGUAAGUAUCUUAGACACUUGUUAGCAUCACAUUUAUUUUAUUUUGAUGUUUUUUUUUUUUUUUCCGGUUCUCUUCUUAUGUAUUGUUUUGUCCAAGUUCAAUGUUUUAUGUUCAACGAUUUUUACAUUCACUUCCUCAAAAAAAUAAAAUUACAUUCACAUUGCUCUCGUUUUAUUGUCGACGCCUAUAUAUGGUGGAAAUGGCUUGGUAUUAGAAUAAAAAAAAAUGGCUUUGGUGACUAAUGUUACACGUCAACAUAAAUAAACUCAAUUUUUAAUGGCUGAAAGUUACCAAGUUCUUUUCUUUCAGCCCAAGCAAAGCAACGUGUUACCGUGUCACGCAAUGCGGCGGAAAGAGACAAGAAGAAAACAAAAGAUAAUUCUCUUCCUGGCCACUACUAUAUAAAUACAUUACAUGCAUGUUAUGUUAGUUUCAAUUUCAUAUCAUCGUACUACAGCAAUACUUCUGAGUUUCAAUUUCACUUCUUGCAUAGCUAAAGAACACGGACAGGCAAAAACAUAAUCACCAAAUCAAAGGUUCGAUAUAUUGUACUGUGGAAAUUAUUGUUCUAUUUGACUUUUUUUCUUUUCUUUUGAAAGAGUUCUAUAUAUUUGGGGAAAUUUACGAAGUGUAUUAUGACAAGUUUAUAUGCUAAGCCAUGUUUUCAGCAAAUUCGAUAAACUCUUAUGAAAACAUAUCAUAUACAGGUUGCCUUAAGCAUGGACGGAAGAGGCGAGUGCCCAUGACAUUGUUUUGAUAAGAGCACCAAUAUUAUUUUUGUUUUAUUUAAUAGUUAACAAUAUAUACGUAUAUUAUUUUAAUUCACUUUGAUUAAUUUUAUUGAAAAUAUUUUUAUAAAAACAUUGAUUAUGAAUAAGGGGUUGUAUUGGAUUUUUUUUUUUGAAGUUGGAUUUUUUUUGAAGAAAUCAAAAUUAUAUAUAACAAAAAAAAUUGGCUACCUUUCCGGCACAAGGUUUAUCAAAGAAAGGACAAUUUUUAUUUAAAAAAGUCUUAAGGAUUUUAAAAGACUCUGCAGAAUUUUAAUGACUUUGAUGGUUUUAAAAGACUAUCAAGAUUUACAAUUUGAAUUUCAAUGAAUUUAACUCAUGGUCACCUUAACUCAUAAGAUUUUAAAGAAUUUGAAAUGAUUUUAUGGAUUUCAAAUUUUUUUACGAAUUUUAAUUAAGCACUCAUUGCAAAAAUAAUGAUCAUAACACACUCUAUUUUACAAUAUUCUCAAUAGAGACUCUUUUAUUAAUAAAGAUAUUUUAAUAAUUAAAAUGACACAACUUUAUUGAUUCGCUAAGAACAUAAAUAAUCUUAAGAUUGUCCUGAUAAGUGAUAAUAUCAUCAAUUAUAGAGUAAAAUUAUACUCCCCUCCCCUUAAUGUUGCUUGAAUUACACUUCACUCCUCUCUUAUGUUAAAAUAUACAUUACCCUCUCAUCUUAUUCAAAACAUAUUAGAAAAUAUCUCACUCCUCUCCCCUAAGAGAAACAUGAAUUACAUUCUCCGCCCCUCUUAUGUUAAAAUCUACACUUUACUCCCUCAUUAUAUAUUUUUUAUUUCUAAUAAUAUUGCAAAUUAAUAAUAAUCUAACACACUUCGAAAAAAUAUAGUAUUGCAGGUCUAUUUUAAUAUAAUCAAAAUUUGAAUACAUAUUUUUUCUAUUUUUUAUUCAAAAUUUCAUUAACAUAAAGUUUUAACCCCUAUUAUAAAAUAUGAAACAACCCAAAAUAAAAUUAAAAUAUAUAAAAAAUUCCUAAAGACAAUAAAUUAUGGUUAUUUAAAAGUUGGUUUUAUGCUCUAAAUUAUAAAAUUAAUAGCAAAAUAUUUAAAUUUACUUAUCAUUGACAUUUAAAUUAUACAUAAAUGAAUUUAUUUUUCUUAAAUGGUGGUUCAAAAUUAGUAUAUAUCAUAAAAAUAUUUAUUUAUGUUAAAAUAGAUUAAAGUGUAGUGUAUAUUUAUUUAUUAAGGGAUGGAGUUGUAAUUCAAGCAUCUUACAUGGAGAGGAGUAUAAAUUUUAAUUUUCAAGGGAGGAGAUUGUAUAUUUUAACAUAAGAGGGAGUGUGUGUAAUUUAAACAUCUUUUAAGGGGAAGGAGUGUAAUUUACUCUAACUUAUAUUCAAAAGAGAUUGCCUUUAUUUUAUCUUUUACUUCCGGAGUAAUUUUUACGUAAAACACUUAUUUGAUAUGUAUUUAUGUUAUGUUAUGUUAUGAACGCUUAUGCAACCAUGAGUUUUUGUGCCGUUCAUAACUUGUUUUCCUUGUUUGUUUGAAUCAGAGGAAGGAAUCAAAUUCAUGAGUAGCGCCACGACACAUAUUAUUACCCUUACAACAAGAUUUAAUGAUGUCUUGAACAAAAUAUCUGAAAUAGUUGAAACAGCACGAAAGAACCAAAGUUCAAGGCUAUUGUUUAGGUUAAUCUUAAAGGAUUUAUCUCCCGUUGUACAAGAUAUAAAGCAUUACAAUGAACACUUGGAUCAACCCAGAGAAGAAAUAAAUAGUUUGAUAGAAGAAAGUGCAUGCAAAUCUUCUUUUGAGAAUGAUUCCUACGUUGUUGAUGAGAACCAAUCUCUUAUUGUAAAUGAUGUCGAAGAGACACUUUACAAGGCCAGAGAAAUUCUUGAGCUUCUCAACCACGAAAAUCCAAAAUUCACUGUUGGGUUGGAUAUACCAUUUAGCAAGUUGAAAAUGGAGCUUCUGAGGGGUGGUAGCUCCACACUUGUGUUGACUGGUUUAGGAGGAUUGGGGAAAACCACUCUGGCUACAAAGCUUUGUUGGGAUGAAGAAGUUAAUGGUAAGUCAUAAAUCCUUUUUGCCUUAUCUCAUGCAUGUUUGGAUUAGCAGUGUGUUAGACAGAAUCAUGAAAACUUGAAAGAAAAAAUUACGCUGCCACCAUAAUUUUGCCAAAUUCAAUUUGAUUCUAAACAUGAACUUAUACAUGAAUUAUAUAUAUCAUUGCCUUAGAUGGUACUCAAUAAUAUAUGGAUGUUUUUUUAGUAAAGAAUGGAUGGAAAUAAGGACAUAAGAAUUUUUUCAUAUAAAUAUUUCUUAUGUGUAGAGCAGCUUAAAGCGGUAUUCAUGCUCGCUGAUUGUAGAUAGUUUGUCCUUAGAGAAUAUUAUGUUUAGGAGCAGUUCAUUAUUUUCCAAAUUACAUCAUAGGAAAACAUUGUAGGCAUCUUCUAUCCUCUGCAAAUGUUGAUUUAACAUAUUAAAGAAGCAUUUUUCUUUGAAUUAGAUUAAUUAACUUUCUUUUCUGUCAAGUGUUCAUUUAGUUGAGCAUAUUAAAUGUAAAAGACAUUAACUUUUUUUGUCUUACAAUCUGUCUUUGGUUUUACUAGGUAAAUUCAAGGAAAACAUUAUAUUUGUCACCUUCUCAAAAACACCCAUGCUGAAGACUAUUGUAGAGAGAAUACAUCAACAUUGUGGAUAUUCAGUGCCUGAGUUUCAAAGUGAUGAAGAUGCAGUCAAUAAGUUAGGACUUUUGUUGAAGAAAGUUGAGGGAAGUCCACUAUUGUUGGUUCUGGAUGAUGUUUGGCCAAGCUCAGAAUCUCUUGUUGAGAAACUUCAAUUCCAGAUGACAGGUUUCAAAAUUCUGGUGACUUCAAGGGUUGCAUUUCCGAGGUUUAGCACAACAUGUAUCUUAAAACCUCUUGCUCAUGAAGACGCAGUAACGCUUUUCCAUCACUAUGCUCAAAUGGAAAAAAACAGUUCAGAUAUUAUCGACAAAAAUCUUGUAGAAAAGGUACUUGUUCUUACUUUCUUACAUAUGAGCGUUAUCUAUUAUGUAGCAUCGACACACUUCAGAUUGAAGUCACAUAGAAAGACGCCUAGUUAUAAUCAUUUGAUUACUGACCAUACUCGCUUGCAAUGAAUUGCAGGUCGUUAGAAGUUGCAAUGGUUUACCGCUUACCAUUAAAGUAAUUGCUACAUCACUCAAAAAUCGGCCUCAUGACUUGUGGCAUAAGAUAGUGAAGGAACUAUCACAAGGUCAUUCAAUUCUUGAUUCUAAUACCGAAUUACUUACUCGCCUCCAAAAGAUCUUCGAUGUUUUGGAAGAUAAUCCAAAAAUCAUGGAGUGCUUCAUGGACCUAGCCUUAUUUCCCGAAGACCAUAGAAUUCCUGUCGCUGCUCUCGUUGAUAUGUGGGCAGAGCUGUAUAAACUAGAUGACAACGGAAUACAAGCAAUGGAAAUCAUCAACAAAUUAGGCAUCAUGAAUUUGGCUAAUGUCAUAAUACCAAGGUACUACGACUAUUAUUAUUAUUAUUAUAUUUUCUUCUAGGCUACUUAAAUUGUUAAAUAUCUCACAUGAAUGAUACUCUACAUAAAUCCUGUCAAAUAAUUUUUUAUCUUUUAAGUAACUAAUUAACCUCUGCUCAUUUACCAGGAAAAAUGCAAGUGACACGGACAAUAACAACUACAAUAAUCACUUCAUCAUCCUUCAUGAUAUUCUAAGAGAACUUGGAAUUUACCAAAGCACCAAGGAACCAUUUGAGCAAAGAAAAAGACUGAUUAUUGACAUGAAUAACAAUAAAAGUGGGCUCGCGGAGAAGCAGCAAGGCUUGAUGACCCGUAUAUUUUCAAAGUUUAUGAGAUUGUGUGUUAAACAAAAUCCUCAACAGCUUGCUGCCCGUAUAUUGUCGGUAUCAACUGGUUAGUAAUACUUACCUUCCUCUAAAUUUGACCAUCUAAAAAUGCUAUUGAAAAAUCUGUUGCAAUCUGUUAUUAAUUCCUUUUCUGCAAUUGAUUGCGUGAGUUUCACAUUUGCAGAUGAAACAUGUGCGUUGGAUUGGUCUCAUAUGCAACCAGCUCAGGUCGAGGUUCUGAUUUUAAAUAUUCAUACCAAGCAGUACUCAUUACCCGAGUGGAUUGCAAAAAUGAGUAAACUAAGAGUUCUGAUAAUCACAAACUACGGUUUCCAUCCUUCUAAACUGAACAACAUUGAGCUUCUCGGUUCUUUACAGAACCUGGAAAGAAUCAGACUAGAGCGAAUUUCGGUCCCUUCCUUCGGCACAUUGAAGAAUUUGAAAAAACUAUCUCUGUACAUGUGUAACACAAUACUGGCUUUUGAAAAGGGUAGCAUCCUAAUUUCAGAUGCAUUUCCAAAUCUAGAAGAAUUGAACAUUGAUUACUGCAAAGAUUUGGUGGUAUUGCAAACUGGUAUCUGUGAUAUUAUCUCAUUAAAGAAGCUCAAUGUUACUAAUUGCCACAAGCUUUCUUCACUUCCCCAAGAUAUUGGAAAAUUGGAGAAUUUGGAACUUCUAAGCCUCAGUUCAUGUACUGACUUGGAAGCUAUACCGACUUCCAUUGGAAAGCUGUUAAAUCUAAAACAUCUUGACAUUUCAAACUGCAUAAGCCUUUCAAGUUUACCUGAGGAAUUUGGUAAUUUGUGCAAUCUAAAGAAUCUGGACAUGGCAACUUGUGCAAGUAUUGAAUUGCCAUUCUCAGUUGUCAAUCUUCAGAAUUUGAAGACGAUAACCUGCGAUGAAGAGACGGCUGCUACAUGGGAAGAUUUCCAGCAUAUGCUUCACAAUAUGAAGAUAGAGGUUCUUCAUGUUGAUGUUAACUUAAAUUGGCUUCUUUGAAUGACUUUUGUAUAGCAUAUAAUUAAAAUUCUUUUGU